CUCCUACGGGAGGCAGCAGUGGGGAAUUUUCUGCAAUGGGAGAAAUCCUGACGGAGCAAUGCCACAUGAAGGCAGAAGGCCCACGAGUCAUGUAAUUCCUUUCUCGUAGAAGAAAAAAUGACGGUAUCUAAGGAAUAAGCAUCGGCUAACUCUGUGCCAGCAACCAUGGUAAUACAUAGGAUGUAAGUGUUAUCCGAAAUGGUUGGGCGUAAAGCGUCUGUAGGUGGCUUUUCAAGUCUGCUGUCAAAUCCCUGGGCUCAACCCUGGACAGGCGGUGGAAAAUACCAGGAUGGAGUACGAUAGGGGCAGAGGGAAUUUUUGGUGGAGCGGUGAAAUGCAUUGAGAUCGGAAAGAACACCAACGGCAAAAGCACUUUGCUGGGCCAACACUGACACUGAGAGACAAAAGCUAGGGGAGCAAAUGGGAUUAGAUACCCUAGUAGUCCUAGCCGUAAACUAUGGAUACUAAGUGCUGUGCGUAUCGACCCACGCAGUGCUGUAGCUAACGUGUUAAGUAUCCCGCCUGGGGAGUAUGUUUGCAAGAAUGAAACUCAAAGGAAUUGACGG
Molecule: ribosomal RNA, 566 nt
Filed under: Pinus taeda (loblolly pine)
Lineage: Eukaryota; Viridiplantae; Streptophyta; Pinopsida; Pinales; Pinaceae
Description: bacterial SSU rRNA
Rfam family: Bacterial small subunit ribosomal RNA
Source: RNAcentral